GUAGGUGGCAAGCGUUGUCCGGAAUUAUUGGGCGUAAAGCGCGCGCAGGCGGUUCUUUAAGUCUGAUGUGAAAGCCCACGGCUCAACCGUGGAGGGUCAUUGGAAACUGGAGAACUUGAGUACAGAAGAGGAAAGCGGAAUUCCACGUGUAGCGGUGAAAUGCGUAGAGAUGUGGAGGAACACCAGUGGCGAAGGCGGCUUUCUGGUCUGUAACUGACGCUGAGGCGCGAAAGCGUGGGGAGCAAACAGGGAUUAGAUACCCUGGUAGUCCACGCCGUGAACGAUGAGUGCUAAGUGUUAGGGGGGUUUUCCGCCCCCCUUAGUGCUGCAGCUAACGCAUUAAGCACUCCGCCUGGGAGUACGGCCGCAAGGCUG
RNAcentral lists this ribosomal RNA (375 nucleotides) under uncultured organism. Its description in RNAcentral is "partial 16S ribosomal RNA". It matches the Rfam family "Bacterial small subunit ribosomal RNA", at positions 527 to 896 of the family's 1533-position model. The record is from RNAcentral.